Molecule: ribosomal RNA, 495 nt
Filed under: uncultured bacterium
Lineage: Bacteria
Description: partial 16S ribosomal RNA
Rfam family: Bacterial small subunit ribosomal RNA
Source: RNAcentral
GACGAACGCUGGCGGCGUGCCCAAUACAUGCAAGUAGAACGCUGAAGGAGGAGCUUGCUUCUCUGGAUGAGUUGCGAACGGGUGAGUAACGCGUAGGUAACCUGCCUGGUAGCGGGGGAUAACUAUUGGAAACGAUAGCUAAUACCGCAUAAUAGUAGAUGUUGCAUGACAUUUGCUUAAAAGGUGCAAUUGCAUCACUACCAGAUGGACCUGCGUUGUAUUAGCUAGUUGGUGGGGUAACGGCUCACCAAGGCGACGAUACAUAGCCGACCUGAGAGGGUGAUCGGCCACACUGGGACUGAGACACGGCCCAGACUCCUACGGGAGGCAGCAGUAGGGAAUCUUCGGCAAUGGACGGAAGUCUGACCGAGCAACGCCGCGUGAGUGAAGAAGGUUUUCGGAUCGUAAAGCUCUGUUGUAAGAGAAGAACGAGUGUGAGAGUGGAAAGUUCACACUGUGACGGUAACUUACCAGAAAGGGACGGCUAACUACGUG